AAUGAACGCUAGCGGUAGGCCUAACACAUGCAAGUUGAACGCAUACUUUUUACAGUAUGAGUAGCAAACGGGUGAGUAACGCGUGAGAAAUCUACCUUACAAUCUGGGAUAAAAUCCCGGAUUCUUUCUAAACUAGAUGUUAAAAUAGUCUAGAAUAAAAGAUUAAAUGUCGUUGUAAGAUGUGCUCGCGUAGGAUUAGGUAGUUGGUGAGGUAAAGCUACACCAAGCCGAAGAUCCUUAGCUGGUCUGAGAGGAUGAUCAGCCACACUGGGACUGAGACGCGGCCCAGACGCUUUCGAGCGGCAGCAGUGAGGAACUUUGGACAAUGGGCGAAAGCCUGAUCCAGCCAUAUCGCAUGAGUGAAGAAGGCUCAAUUGGUUGUAAAGCUCUGAUUUGAUUGAAGAUUAUGACAUAAGAUACAAAAAUAGUCCCGGCUAACUUCGUGCCAGCAGCCGCCGUAAU
This 462-nucleotide ribosomal RNA is filed under the name uncultured bacterium. RNAcentral describes it as "bacterial SSU rRNA". It matches the Rfam family "Bacterial small subunit ribosomal RNA", at positions 29 to 524 of the family's 1533-position model. The record is from RNAcentral.